Long non-coding RNA from Oncorhynchus tshawytscha (Chinook salmon), 600 nucleotides. NCBI's taxonomy places the organism in Eukaryota, Metazoa, Chordata, Actinopteri, Salmoniformes, Salmonidae. The record is from Ensembl.
GUUCUGGCAGUUGUUGUUGCUGGGGCUUAAGAAAGGGUGGUGGCUGGACAGAACACGGCAGCUGGGGCUGGAGAGAGGGUGGUGGCUGGACAGAGCACUGCAGCUGGGGCUGGAGAGAGGGUGGUGGCUGGACAGAGCACUGCAGCUGGGGUUGAAGAGAGGGUGGUGGCUGGACAGAGGACUGCAGCUGGGGUUGAAGAACACUGAGGGUGGUGGCUGGACAGAGGACUGCAGCUGGGGCUGGAGAGAAGGUGGUGGCUGGACAGAACACUGCAGCUGGGGCUGGAGAGAAGGUGGUGGCUGGACAGAACACUGCAGCUGGGGCUGGAGAGAGGGUGUUGGCUGGACAGAACACCGCAGCUGGGGCUGGAGAGAGGGUGUUGGCUGGACAGAACACUGAGGCUGGGGCUGGAGAGAGGGUGGUGGCUGGACAGAACACUGCAGCUGGGGUUGGAGAGAGGGUUUUGUCUCUAACACUGACUCUCCUUCAGACACACAGCCAUUUGGCGUAGAGGUAAACAGUCCAAAAACACUCCCCUCACUCUCCUCUUUGAUCCAGUCAGCGCUGGUGAGACUGACCCUCCGUUUGAUCCCUUCUAC